RNAcentral lists this ribosomal RNA (253 nucleotides) under uncultured bacterium. Its description in RNAcentral is "partial 16S ribosomal RNA". It matches the Rfam family "Bacterial small subunit ribosomal RNA", at positions 524 to 776 of the family's 1533-position model. The record is from RNAcentral.
UACGGGGGGACCAAGCGUUGUCCGGAAUUACUGGGCGUAAAGGGCGCGUAGGCGGGCGGGCAAGUCUCUCGUGAAAGCCCACGGCUCAACCGUGGAAUUGCGGGAGAUACUGCCUGUCUUGAGUCCGGGAGAGGAGGGUGGAAUUCCCAGUGUAGCGGUGAAAUGCGUAGAUAUUGGGAGGAACACCGGUGGCGAAGGCGGCUCUCUGGACCGGUACUGACGCUGAGGCGCGAAAGCUAGGGGAGCAAACGGG